RNAcentral lists this ribosomal RNA (253 nucleotides) under uncultured bacterium. RNAcentral's name for it is "partial 16S ribosomal RNA". It matches the Rfam family "Bacterial small subunit ribosomal RNA", at positions 524 to 776 of the family's 1533-position model. The record is from RNAcentral.
UACGUAGGGAGCAAGCGUUGUUCGGAUUUACUGGGCGUAAAGGGUGCGUAGGCGGACUGUUAAGUCAGUGGUGAAAGCUCCAUGCCUAACAUGGAAAAUGCCAUUGAUACUGACGGUCUUGAGUACAUUUGAAAUGGGCGGAAUGUGUCAUGUAGCGGUGAAAUGCUUAGAUAUGACACAGAACACCGAUUGCGUAGGCAGCUCACUAAACUGUAACUGACGCUGAGGCACGAAAGCAUGGGGAGCAAACAGG